RNAcentral lists this ribosomal RNA (447 nucleotides) under uncultured bacterium. RNAcentral's name for it is "partial 16S ribosomal RNA". It matches the Rfam family "Bacterial small subunit ribosomal RNA", at positions 29 to 523 of the family's 1533-position model. The record is from RNAcentral.
AACGAACGCUGGCGGCAGGCUUAACACAUGCAUGUCGAACGCCCCGCAAGGGGAGUGGCAGACGGGUGAGUAACGCGUGGGAACAUACCCUUUUCUACGGAAUAGCUCUGGGAAACUGGAAUUAAUACCGUAUACGCCCUACGGGGGAAAGAUUUAUCGGGGAAGGAUUGGCCCGCGUUGGAUUAGCUAGUUGGUGGGGUAAAGGCCUACCAAGGCGACGAUCCAUAGCUGGUCUGAGAGGAUGAUCAGCCACAUUGGGACUGUGACACGGCCCAAACUCCUACGGGAGGCAGCAGUGGGGAAUAUUGGACAAUGGGCGCAAGCCUGAUCCAGCCAUGCCGCGUGAGUGAUGAAGGCCUUAGGGUUGUAAAGCUCUUUCACCGAUGAAGAUAAUGACGGUAGUCGGAGAAGAAGCCCCGGCUAACUUCGUGCCAGCCGCCGCCGUAA